UUCGGAAGUGAUUGUUUUGUGACUGAGUGGCGGACGGGUGAGUAACGCGUGGGUAACCUGCCUCGCACAGGGGGACAACAGCUGGAAACGGCUGCUAAUACCGCAUAAGCGCACAGCUUCGCAUGAAGCAGUGUGAAAAACUCCGGUGGUGUGAGAUGGACCCGCGUCUGAUUAGGUAGUUGGUGAGGUAACGGCCCACCAAGCCGACGAUCAGUAGCCGACCUGAGAGGGCGGACGGCCACAUUGGGACUGAGACACGGCCCAAACUCCUACGGGAGGCAGCAGUGGGGGAUAUUGCACAAUGGAGGGAACCCUGAUGCAGCGACGCCGCGUGAGUGAAGAAGUAUUUCGGUAUGUAAAGCUCUAUCAGCAGGGAAGAAAGGCUCCGCAAGGAGAGAUGACGGUACCUGAGUAAGAAGCCCCGGCUAACUACGUGCCAGCAGCCGCGGUAAUACGUAGGGGGCAAGCGUUAUCCGGAUUUACUGGGUGUAAAGGGAGCGUAGACGGAGAGGCAAGUCUGAAGUGAAAGCCCGGGGCUCAACCGCGGGACUGCUUUGGAAACUGUCUGUCUGGAGUACUGGAGGGGUAAGCGGAAUUCCUAGUGUAGCGGUGAAAUGCGUAGAUAUUAGGAGGAACACCAGUGGCGAAGGCGGCUUACUGGACGGUAACUGACGUUGAGGCUCGAAAGCGUGGGGAGCAAA
Molecule: ribosomal RNA, 701 nt
Filed under: uncultured bacterium
Lineage: Bacteria
Description: bacterial SSU rRNA
Rfam family: Bacterial small subunit ribosomal RNA
Source: RNAcentral